CCUCGCUGGACGCUCCCUUUUUUCCCCCGGCUCCGCCGCCGCCGCCGCCGCCGCCUCCCCCCUCCCUCAACUCCGGGGUGGCGGCUGGCGGCGGCGGCGGCGACAGGCGGUGCUCGGAGCAAGAGUUGCUGCUGGGAAAGAUGGCGGGGAACGGCGCGGGCUUCGCUGGUGCAGGCAGCGGGGAGAUCAUUCAGCUCAAUGUCGGGGGUACCAGGUUCAGCACUUCAAGACAAACACUAAUGUGGAUUCCAGACUCCUUUUUUUCCAGUUUGCUGAGUGGAAGAAUUUCAACACUGAAAGAUGAAACUGGUGCUAUAUUUAUUGAUAGAGAUCCUGCAGCAUUUGCGCCUAUUCUAAAUUUUCUUCGCACAAAGGAAUUAGAUUUUCGGGGAGUAAGCAUUAAUGUGCUCAGGCAUGAAGCAGAAUUUUAUGGAAUCACACCUUUAGUAAGAAGAUUGCUCUUGUGUGAAGAGCUAGAGCGUUCCUCUUGUGGCAGCGUUCUUUUUCAUGGAUAUUUGCCACCUCCAGGCAUUCCAAGUCGUAAGAUCAGCAGCUCUACAGGGACAUCUACUGAUGUUAGAACCCCUCAAAAUUGCCCUGAAGGUGAGGCCCGAGGAGGGAAUAUGCAGCCUUCACUUGCUGGUACUGGAGAAGAUACUGUUAGGCUAGGAUUUCCUGUGGAUCCGCGAAAAGUCUUGAUAGUGGCUGGCCAUCACAACUGGAUUGUAGCUGCAUAUGCUCACUUUGCAGUUUGUUAUAGAAUUAAAGAAUCUUCUGGAUGGCAACAGGUGUUCACAAGUCCAUACUUGGACUGGACUAUUGAGCGUGUGGCUCUGAAUGCAAAGGUUGUUGGUGGUCCACAUGGAGACAAAGAUAAAAUGGUUGCUGUUGCAUCUGAGAGCAGCAUCAUUUUAUGGAGCGUUCAGGAUGGUGGUAGUGGUAGUGAAAUAGGAAUAUUUAGUCUUGGAGUCCCUGUAGAUGCUCUCUUCUUCAUUGGUAACCAGUUGGUGGCUACUAGUCAUACAGGAAAAGUGGGAGUAUGGAAUGCUGUAACUCAACAUUGGCAGGUUCAAGAUGUUGUUCCCAUCACUAGUUACGAUACUGCUGGAUCAUUCUUACUGCUGGGUUGCAACAAUGGAUCCAUAUAUUACAUUGAUAUGCAAAAAUUUCCAUUACGAAUGAAGGAUAAUGAUCUUCUGGUGACAGAACUUUACCAUGAUCCUUCCAAUGAUGCCAUAACAGCACUUAGUGUUUACCUCACACCCAAAACAAGUGUAAGUGGUAAUUGGAUUGAGAUUGCAUAUGGCACAAGUUCUGGAGCAGUCCGUGUGAUUGUGCAACACCCAGAAACUGUUGGGUCAGGCCCUCAACUCUUUCAGACUUUCACAGUUCACCGAAGCCCUGUUACAAAGAUCAUGUUGUCUGAGAAACAUCUGGUGUCAGUUUGUGCAGAUAACAAUCAUGUUCGGACAUGGACAGUAACUCGUUUCCGAGGAAUGAUUUCAACACAGCCAGGAUCCACUCCUUUGGCAUCAUUUAAAAUUUUGUCCUUGGAGGAGACUGAAAGUCAUGGCAGUUACUCUUCUGGAAAUGAUAUAGGGCCGUUUGGUGAGCGAGAUGAUCAACAGGUGUUUAUCCAAAAGGUUGUUCCCAUCACUAACAAACUCUUUGUGAGGCUUUCUUCUACUGGAAAAAGGAUAUGUGAAAUUCAGGCAGUUGACUGUACUACAAUUUCAUCCUUCACUGUACGAGAAUGUGAGGGAUCCAGUAGAAUGGGCUCAAGGCCACGACGCUACCUCUUCACAGGACAUGUGAAUGGCAGUAUUCAGAUGUGGGACCUGACCACGGCAAUGGAUAUGGUUAAUAAAAGUGAAGAAAAGGAUGUGGGCGGUCCUACUGAAGAAGAACUGCUUAAGCUUUUGGAUCAGUGUGACUUGAGCACAUCUCGUUGUGCAACUCCCAAUAUCAGUCCAGCCACUUCAGUGGUACAGCAAAGUCGCCUGCGUGAAUCAAGCUCUAGCCUCCAGUUGCAGCAUCGUGAAACGAUCCAUGAAACCGCUACAUACGGCGCUAUACGCCCCUAUAGAGAGAGCCCUUUAUUAGCCAGGGCACGGCGGACAGAAAGUUUUCACAGUUACAGAGAAAUUCAGGCUUUUAAUUUGAACAAAACUAUGGGAGACAGAGCUGUUCCUCAGAAUGGCAACCAGAGUCCUGUACAAACAGAAGCAAAGAGGAUAGGUGAAAACACGCCUGACAAAAAGGCUUCAGCAUCGGCACUUGAGGUAAGAGCUGCUAAAGCAGCAGACGGAGGGACUGAAGUCCAGAAAGUGCCUGAAGGUUUAUCAGAGUUGAAGAAAAGAGGAACUGAGGAAGAAAAUGAAGCCAAAGUAGACAAUAAAAAGAAAAGUGGGUUUGAAGGAGGAGGGUUCUUGGGAAGGAAGAAAGCCCCUCAUCUCGUGUCUUCACCAAGUAUUGUGGAAGGAGGUUCUGAAGCACUCGGUACAGUUUCCCCGUCACCUACAAAGACGACCAUUUCUCCACGGCAUAAGAAAAGUGACUCUUCUUGCCAGGAUUAUACCUUGUAAAAGUGUUGCAGGACAUCUAUAUCCAAGAUAUAUAUCAAACGUUUUAACACUAAACUGGAUGAAAUGUUUACAUUUACGCAUCUAUCAUAUGGAUUCCAAGUUUGCAACUUGAACCUGCAGUUAUGAGACAUUCCGUGACAUGAUCCCUGCAAUUCAUGAUUUCCUAGAGAGCUUUGCUCAACUGGAUGUGCUAAGGUGGGAAGGGGAGCGACAGGAUUCUACUGAGCCUCUUGUACAAAGGCACCAUGCCCACCUGGGAAAGAAUUUUACCCAAUGUUCAAAGCAAUUCAUGCAAUUUAAUAAUCAUAAGAGCAUGGUAUUAAGGUAGAUCAUUUCUAUAUUGCAGGGAAAGGGUUAGGGUAGGACUAAAACUGCCUUGCCUCGGGCCAUCCAGUUAGUGCAUGACUGAGGUGAGCUUUGAAUUUGAGCCUCCCCAGCUCAUAAUUUUUAACAACCACGGUUUUGUUAAUAUAAUGCCAUUGCUAUACAUGCUGCUUUAUAGGAUCAAAUAAGCAAAAAGACAGGUCCCUGCCCUAUAUUGCUUACAAAGGUACAAAUGUGAACAUACUGUGUCCAGUGUAAGAUGUAUGUUUUAUAGUCUUUAGCACUUCACAUGAUUUAUUAACAUGUUAACUUUUAGGAAUUGUUGUCUGUCCUUUUCUACAGGGGUACAUGUUGUAUAAUGCAUUGUGGAAGGGAAAUGAAGAAUAAAAUCAAACUACCAAUCUA
This is an RNA transcript of Elgaria multicarinata webbii, 3314 nucleotides long. It is a transcript of the gene named potassium channel tetramerization domain containing 3, with no coding region annotated. The transcript is spliced from 19 exons. NCBI's taxonomy places the organism in Eukaryota, Metazoa, Chordata, Lepidosauria, Squamata, Anguidae. The record is from RefSeq and is a predicted model, not a curated record.